UGGGUAACCGGCGAACGGGUGCGUAACACGUGAGCGACCUGCCUUUCCGCGGGGGGAUAGCCGGCCCAACGGCCGGGUAAUACCGCAUACGCUGCCUGGGGGGCAUCCCCUGGGUAGGGAAACCUCCGGGGCGGAGAGAGGGGCUCGCGACCUAUCAGCUAGUUGGCGGGGUAACGGCCCACCAAGGCGUCGACGGGUAGCUGGUCUGAGAGGAUGGCCAGCCACAUUGGGACUGAGAUACGGCCCAG
This 248-nucleotide ribosomal RNA is filed under the name uncultured bacterium. RNAcentral's name for it is "partial 16S ribosomal RNA". It matches the Rfam family "Bacterial small subunit ribosomal RNA", at positions 88 to 334 of the family's 1533-position model. The record is from RNAcentral.